UGACCCAGAGCAGACAUCAACAGCAUCUACUCUCUUGUCAACUACCAGUGUGUGCAGUGCAGCAACAGCUCAGUGUCAGCUAAGACCUUAGGAAAAACCCAGAACCUUACUUCCGACCUGCUGGCUCACAGUAUGCGCUCAUUUCCAUACAUUAAUGCUACGAAACGGAACCCUGGCUGGGAGUGACAGAGGAGUCCAUCAUUCCUGUCUUGUUUAUAUCCUUCCCUUUUGUCCAUGCUACCCAAGAAGAUGCUCUUCUCUCAGAAUCUCAGCUUUGCCUGGCGGGUGCACAGUAGGGAAUGAGAAGGCAGUGCCGCAAAAGUUCCUUCUCCCGUGUGUGUUCUUCAAGUAGCUCCCUUCCAGGUCCCGAGGACUUCUCUUCCUGAAAGAAACAGAGAGGUGAGGAGCUACAUUUCUGCAGCUGGCCAUGUCUCCGCCUAAUUCGCUCCUUCUCAGUGUCACCUCAGCAGAUCACGAUAGCCGCCCAGUGAAUUGACUCUACACUCCUAUUCCUGCGUGAUCUGAGCCCCCAGAACACCUGGAGAAAGAAUGCUAAAAUGUGUUUGCUUCCCCCCCCCCCACUGCAGCUUUCCUUCCUGAUAACCAGGGACAAUUACCUCACCUCUUCUGGCUUGCUGAUCUCUUGGAAACAGAAGUCCAAAGUUCCUCAGUGGCACCUCUAACCUGUAGUUCAAUAAAACAUGUGAUAAUUG
Long non-coding RNA from Mesocricetus auratus (golden hamster), 713 nucleotides. RefSeq lists it as uncharacterized. The record is from RefSeq and is a predicted model, not a curated record. The transcript is spliced from 3 exons. Lineage: Eukaryota; Metazoa; Chordata; Mammalia; Rodentia; Cricetidae.